Molecule: transfer RNA, 77 nt
Filed under: Halioglobus japonicus
Lineage: Bacteria; Pseudomonadati; Pseudomonadota; Gammaproteobacteria; Cellvibrionales; Halieaceae
Description: tRNA-Arg
Rfam family: tRNA
About the family: Transfer RNA (tRNA) molecules are approximately 80 nucleotides in length. Their secondary structure includes four short double-helical elements and three loops (D, anti-codon, and T loops).
Source: RNAcentral
CGGGGUAUAGCUCAGUUGGAUAGAGCAUGCGCCUUCUAAGCGCACGGUCGAGGGUUCGAAUCCUUCUACCCCCGCCA